Molecule: long non-coding RNA, 328 nt
Filed under: Elaeis guineensis (African oil palm)
Lineage: Eukaryota; Viridiplantae; Streptophyta; Magnoliopsida; Arecales; Arecaceae
Description: long non-coding RNA (EGUI_LNC042081)
Source: RNAcentral
CCCACCUUCUCUGCCACCCAUGCCAACCUAGUCCUCUUCGCCCGCCUCCAGACCGGCUCCAUCGACCCCAAAAGCAAGGGACUCAACUCCCUCCUCUAGCUCCUCACUUCCGAUCCACCUAUAUCCAGCACCUCCCCUGACUUCUAUUCUCUACCUGAGGCCUCUAAUCUGAACCAACCCAAUUGAAUCGGGCCAUAAUGACUAAAGUGGCUCAACUAAUUAUGGUCAAGUUGGAUGGGGCCAAUUACAACUAAUGGUCCUUCAUGAUGAAGAUUUUUCUAAAAGGAUGGGAGCUUUGGAAGUAUGUUAUUGGUGACAUUCCAUGUCC